Molecule: ribosomal RNA, 424 nt
Filed under: Fusobacteriota bacterium
Lineage: Bacteria; Fusobacteriati; Fusobacteriota
Description: Fusobacteria bacterium partial 16S ribosomal RNA
Rfam family: Bacterial small subunit ribosomal RNA
Source: RNAcentral
UGAGGAAUAUUGGUCAAUGGGCGAGAGCCUGAACCAGCCAAGUCGCGUGAAGGAAGACAGUCCUAAGGAUUGUAAACUUCUUUUAUACGGGAAUAACGGGCGAUACGAGUAUUGCAUUGAAUGUAACGUAAGAAUAAGCAUCGGCUAACUCCGUGCCAGCAGCCGCGGUAAUACGGAGGAUGCGAGCGUUAUCCGGAUUUAUUGGGUUUAAAGGGUGCGUAGGUUGUUCGGUAAGUCAGCGGUGAAACCUGAGCGCUCAACGUUCAGCCUGCCGUUGAAACUGCCGGGCUUGAGUUCAGUGGCGGCAGGCGGAAUUCGUGGUGUAGCGGUGAAAUGCAUAGAUAUCACGAGGAACUCCGAUUGCGAAGGCAGCUUGCCAUACUGCGACUGACACUGAAGCACGAAGGCGUGGGUAUCAAACAGG